UACGUAGGGGGCAAGCGUUGGCCGGAAUCAUUGGGCGUAAAGCGCGUGUAGGCGGCUCGGUAAGUCUGCUGUGAAAGUCCAGGGCUCAACCCUGGGAUGCCGGUGGAUACUGUCGAGCUCGAGUCCGGAAGAGGCGAGUGGAAUUCCUGGUGUAGCGGUGAAAUGCGCAGAUAUCAGGAGGAACACCAAUGGCGAAGGCAGCUCGCUGGGACGUGACUGACGCUGAGACGCGAAAGCGUGGGGAGCAAACAGG
This 253-nucleotide ribosomal RNA is filed under the name uncultured bacterium. RNAcentral describes it as "partial 16S ribosomal RNA". It matches the Rfam family "Bacterial small subunit ribosomal RNA", at positions 524 to 776 of the family's 1533-position model. The record is from RNAcentral.